GCCCUUGUAGCUCAGUUGGAUAGAGCAGCGGUUUCCUAAACCGUUGGUCGUGCGUUCAAGUCGCGCCAAGGGCA
RNAcentral lists this transfer RNA (74 nucleotides) under bacterium. RNAcentral's name for it is "tRNA-Arg". It matches the Rfam family "tRNA". From Rfam's summary of the family: Transfer RNA (tRNA) molecules are approximately 80 nucleotides in length. The record is from RNAcentral.